AUUACUUUUCAGCUUUUUGGCUAAGAUCAAGUGUAGUAUCUGU
This 43-nucleotide small nuclear RNA is filed under the name Cervus elaphus hippelaphus. It matches the Rfam family "U2 spliceosomal RNA", at positions 1 to 43 of the family's 192-position model. From Rfam's summary of the family: U2 is a small nuclear RNA (snRNA) component of the spliceosome (involved in pre-mRNA splicing). Complementary binding between U2 snRNA (in an area lying towards the 5' end but 3' to hairpin I) and the branchpoint sequence (BPS) of the intron results the bulging out of an unpaired adenosine, on the BPS, which initiates a nucleophilic attack at the intronic 5' splice site, thus starting the first of two transesterification reactions that mediate splicing. Lineage: Eukaryota; Metazoa; Chordata; Mammalia; Artiodactyla; Cervidae. The record is from RNAcentral.